GUGGGGAAUAUUGGACAAUGGGCGCAAGCCUGAUCCAGCAAUGCCGCGUGAAGGAAGAAGGCUUUCGGGUUGUAAACUUCUUUUACCAGGGACGAAACAAAUGACGGUACCUGGUGAAUAAGCCACGGCUAACUACGUGCCAGCAGCCGCGGUAAUACGUAGGUGGCGAGCGUUAUCCGGAUUUAUUGGGUGUAAAGGGCGUGUAGGCGGGACAGCAAGUCAGAUGUGAAAACCAGAGGCUCAACCUCUGGCCUGCAUUUGAAACUGUUGUUCUUGAGUGUCGGAGAGGUAAUCGGAAUUCCGUGUGUAGCGGUGAAAUGCGUAGAUAUACGGAGGAACACCAGUGGCGAAGGCGGAUUACUGGACGAUAACUGACGCUGAGGCGCGAAAGCGUGGGGAGCAAACAGGAUUAGAUACCCUAGUAGUCC
Molecule: ribosomal RNA, 428 nt
Filed under: uncultured bacterium
Lineage: Bacteria
Description: partial 16S ribosomal RNA
Rfam family: Bacterial small subunit ribosomal RNA
Source: RNAcentral